RNAcentral lists this long non-coding RNA (278 nucleotides) under Lathyrus oleraceus (garden pea). RNAcentral describes it as "Pisum sativum (pea) long non-coding RNA (PSAT_LNC038011)". The record is from RNAcentral. Lineage: Eukaryota; Viridiplantae; Streptophyta; Magnoliopsida; Fabales; Fabaceae.
UUUUACAUCAAUCUUCCAACCAGACCCAUCUUUCGCCGGAGUCGACCUGAUUUUAAAUGGGCAUCCACAUUUCUUGGACGCACUUUGGGUUCCACUAUCAGUACUCUUGUGUUUCCCACCUUUAUCAAAACCAAAUAUUAAUUUGUUACUUCUCCCUCUCUUCCCUGUUUCAGUAUCUGAACGACUGAUAAUAACAGUUACUUUAUUAUCGAUUCCAACCUCUUUAAUCCAUCUGAUCACCUCUUCUCGUGUACCGAAUCUUUCAGUCGUUAUAAACG